This 897-nucleotide long non-coding RNA is filed under the name Homo sapiens (human). RNAcentral describes it as "non-protein coding lnc-BMT2-1:14". The record is from RNAcentral. Lineage: Eukaryota; Metazoa; Chordata; Mammalia; Primates; Hominidae.
AUUCUGUGGACUACCUAAAAAAGCACCCAGAAUUUGUUAUCUCGAUUAUGGAGGGCGACAAGUCCCACAGUCUGCCAUCUGCAGGAUGGAGAACCAGUCUUUAUAGGGGGAGAAUAAUUGACUCCAUUCAAGUGUUCGCUCCUGUUUCAAUCAACUAUGGCUGAAGAGUGAGGAGACAUUUGGAAUAAAUAUGGCUUCUGGGGGCCCAUUCCUAUGGAUCAGCAGCUGGCUUCUGGAGGCCCAUUCCUGUGAAUCGUCGAUCUCAUAGAAGAUAAUAUUGUUAGAAGGCUUACCUCAUUGAUGCUGAACAUCCUAAAAAGCUUCUGCUGCUUUGAGUCACUGAAAAAGACCAAGAAACAUGAAUUUAAAAAAAAAUUUCAAAUGUUAUAAAAUAAAUAAUAUGAACUCAUUAUACCUACAAUGAAUAAUUUAAAUUCUUCUUUGGUAGUCCAGCAUAGGUUUAGAAACUAUGAAAACCCUAGAAGAAAACCUAGGCAAUGCCAUUCAGGACAUAGGCACGGACAAAGAUUUCAUGACGAAGACGCCAAAAACAACUGCAACAAAAGCAAAAAUUGACAGAUGGGAUCUCAUUAAACUAAAGAGCUUCCAUACAGCAAAAGAAGCUACCAUGAGAGUGAACAGACAACCUAUAGAAAGGGAGAAAAAUUUUGCAAUCUGUUCAUCUGACAAAGGUCUAAUAUCCAGCAUCUACAAGGAACUUAAAUAAAUUUACAAGAAAAAAACAAACCCAUUAGAAAAUGGGCAAAGGACAUGAAAAGAUACUUCUCAAAAGACAUACAUGUGGCCAACAAUCAUACAAAAAAAACCUCAACAUCACUGAUGAUUAGAAAAAUGCUAAUCAAAACCACAACGAGAUACCAUCUCAUACCUGUCAGA